GCUCUCUCAAACUCGUCGUGCCGAAGGUGCUGCUCCCAUUGACACUCAGCCACCGAAACUCAGUUCUGCUUCCAUUGACAGUCAGGCACUCAAAGUCAGUACUGCUCCCAUUGAACCACCGUGCGCCUAAGCAUUGGAGCUCCAACUAAGAGGCCAUCUCCCUUCCUUAUUGCUCCUUUUAAAGAAGUGGGGUGGCUUCAGCAGUUUCCUUGGCCAAUUGAGGCCUUGAUGCCAUGCUUAUGAUCACCUGCGUGGACUUUUUUUUUUUUUUUUUUUUUUUUUUUUUUUUUUUUUUUUUUUUU
Molecule: long non-coding RNA, 302 nt
Organism: Quercus robur (English oak)
Lineage: Eukaryota; Viridiplantae; Streptophyta; Magnoliopsida; Fagales; Fagaceae
Exons: 2
Source: RefSeq, a predicted model, not a curated record